This 1087-nucleotide ribosomal RNA is filed under the name Triangularia verruculosa. Its description in RNAcentral is "partial 28S large subunit ribosomal RNA". It matches the Rfam family "Eukaryotic large subunit ribosomal RNA", at positions 37 to 1156 of the family's 3401-position model. The record is from RNAcentral. Lineage: Eukaryota; Fungi; Ascomycota; Sordariomycetes; Sordariales; Podosporaceae.
AGCAUAUCAAUAAGCGGAGGAAAAGAAACCAACAGGGAUUGCCUCAGUAACGGCGAGUGAAGCGGCAACAGCUCAAAUUUGAAAUCUGGCCUCGGCCCGAGUUGUAAUUUGCAGAGGAUGCUUCUGGUGCGGCACCGACCGAGUCCCCUGGAACGGGGCGCCAUAGAGGGUGAGAGCCCCGUGUGGUUGGACGCCUAUCCUGUGUGAAGCUCCUUCGACGAGUCGAGUAGUUUGGGAAUGCUGCUCAAAAUGGGAGGUAAAUUUCUUCUAAAGCUAAAUAUUGGCCAGAGACCGAUAGCGCACAAGUAGAGUGAUCGAAAGAUGAAAAGCACUUUGAAAAGAGGGUUAAAUAGCACGUGAAAUUGUUGAAAGGGAAGCGCUUGUGACCAGACUUGCGCCUCGUCGAUCAUCCGGGGUUCUCCCCGGUGCACUCGGCGGGGCUCAGGCCAGCAUCGGUUUUCGCGGGGGGACAAAGGCCCCGGGAACGUAGCUCCUCCGGGAGUGUUAUAGCCCGGGGCGUAAUGCCCUCGCGGGGACCGAGGACCGCGCUUCGGCAAGGAUGCUGGCGUAAUGGUCAUCAGCGACCCGUCUUGAAACACGGACCAAGGAGUCAAGGUUUUGCGCGAGUGUUUGGGUGUAAAACCCGCACGCGUAAUGAAAGUGAACGUAGGUGAGAGCUUCGGCGCAUCAUCGACCGAUCCUGAUGUAUUCGGAUGGAUUUGAGUAGGAGCGUUAAGCCUUGGACCCGAAAGAUGGUGAACUAUGCUUGGAUAGGGUGAAGCCAGAGGAAACUCUGGUGGAGGCUCGCAGCGGUUCUGACGUGCAAAUCGAUCGUCAAAUCUGAGCAUGGGGGCGAAAGACUAAUCGAACCAUCUAGUAGCUGGUUACCGCCGAAGUUUCCCUCAGGAUAGCAGUGUUGUUCUUCAGUUUUAUGAGGUAAAGCGAAUGAUUAGGGACUCGGGGGCGCUUUUUAGCCUUCAUCCAUUCUCAAACUUUAAAUAUGUAAGAAGCCCUUGUUACUUAAUUGAACGUGGGCAUUCGAAUGUACCAACACUAGUGGGCCAUUUUUGGUAAGCAGAACUGGCGA